UGAACCGAGGCUGGGACGAUGAUACCUGAGGGGAUGAGGUGAUUACAUCCACCUCAAUUUCUUAUCCAAUCGGCUCGGAGGAAGCAACACAUCGAUUUUCUUCAUUUUCUUCAUCUGGGAUGACAUAGUCUUCACCAAAUGGUACUAUUUCAUACGAAGGUACUGAGGAGAUAGGAGUGGCAUCAAUGGUUGAGGAACUUGGCAAAAUCCUCAAUCUUUGGGCAUCUGAGGAUUUUGCAAAGGAUGAUGCAUUUCUCUUUCGCGUGGCUUCCUUCUCUGCAACCUUUGUUUUCUUCGCUUAUGAUGCAGAAGGAGGUGUAUCUUCCUUCACCUUUGAAGAUUUUGCAGGUGGAGCGGAAGGUGAAGGUGAUGCAAUUUCUCUAGGCGAACAGUGGAGGUUGCCCUUGCAAUUUCUUUAGGAGCUGGAAUUUCUUCAGGAGCCCUUGCAAUGUCUUCAACAGGAGCUAGCCUGAGGAGUUUGAGAAUGCGAUGGAGCUGUAACCAUUGUGUUAUGGUCAAUGAUGACUUUGGUCGCCGCAUUGACGAAUCAGACCUUGGAACCUUACCAAUCAGCAUGGUAUCAGUUCUAUUAUUCACUUUGGUUUUUAAUCUCAGUUUGAGCAGAAAUAAGUUGAUGUGGAGUUAGGGAGAGAACGUUGUUCUUCAAGAAGCGUUCCUUCUUGUUUUGUUCCCUUCUAGACCUUUUGGCCUUUUCAUAUUUCCAUUUUUCUUCUGCUACAAGGGCAGCCAACACAUGACUUGGACCAGGUGGCAAUUUUAAGUCAUCAAUUGGGGUAUGAGGAUCUUUGUACCAGACAUCGAUAAGUCAAGCACUAUCCUUGGAUCCAUCAUGAGAGGAAUUUGAGUGCCCUUUGCUUGAGCUA
This is a long non-coding RNA of Hordeum vulgare subsp. vulgare (domesticated barley), 884 nucleotides long. RefSeq lists it as uncharacterized. The transcript has 2 exons. The record is from RefSeq and is a predicted model, not a curated record. Lineage: Eukaryota; Viridiplantae; Streptophyta; Magnoliopsida; Poales; Poaceae.